UUCAAAAUACUAAAUCUUUUCAUGUUAAAGCUCCAUGAAGUUGAAUUAGAUGUCUUCCAAAGAUUCUUUGGAGGCCGACUUUAUUUUCUGUUGUUGAGUGGGAAAUCUAAUUCUCAUUUUCUCUUGCAAAAAUCUGUAGAGCAACAUGAAACUAGAAAAGUGCUGGGUUGAACCAUAUAAAAAUGGUAAUAUGUCUUUGACCUGUGAGGGUAAUUUCAUAUGACUCAACCUAGUAUUAUAGCCUUCUUUUUUUUUUACUUUUAACACUUCUGAAUGGAAACAUAGUUGAGCGUAGUUUUAUUUAAAAAUAGUCAUGUAAGAAGAUUGUAUAUUUCUUUUAUCAGUAAUUAAUUGUUUGACUUUUAAUGCCUAAUCUGCUUUUUUUCCACACAGGUUCUUAACCUGGUCCUCACUUUCUUGAGGGCAGAACCACCAGCCUUGCACCUUUUACAUUCUAAAACACUAGCUAAUAUUUGUUUAGUGUUUACUGUGAUAGUGAGUACUCUAAGCAUUUAAUUCUGUAAGUAUUAACUCAUUUAUACCUUACAACAGCCCUCUGUUGAAGGCAUCUCUAUUACUCAUGUUUUAUAAGUGUAAUAGCUAAGGCAUAUGACUUUAAUCAUUCGUCCACAUUAUCCUUCUAGUAGCAGAGCCAAGACUCUAUUUGUCUAGCUUCAACCUAUACUGUUAUUCAGUACAGCUAUAGUUGGUCUUUGAUACCUGCAUCCACAGAUUAACCAACCAGUUUGAAAAUCUUUUUUUAAAAAAAUUUCAUCUGUACUGAAUAGAUACAGAACUUUUCUUUGUCAUUAUUGCCUAAACAAUAUAGUAUAACUAUGGGAUAUGCAUUGUUAUGCAUUUGCCAUACAUGUAGUCAAUGACUGAAAUGUGAGUUGUGACUGUAUUUACAUAGUACUUACAUUGUCUUAGGUACUAUUAAUAAUUUACAGAUGAUUUACAGUAUGAUGACCAACGUGGGAAGAUUAGGUACAAAUACUAUGCCAUUUUAUAUGAGGAACUUGAGCAUCUAAAGAUUUUGGAACCCAUGGGAAUCCUGGAACUAAUCACUAUAGGAAUACAAAUAUUUCUGGACUAUUUAGAGAAGUUCUUUAACAUGUUGUACUUUUUUUUUUUUUUUUGGUAAAACUUAGCAUUCGUCUUUUCAACAAAUAUUGAAUACCUAUUAUGAUUUAGGCAUUAUGUUUUAUAUUUCAGUUAUCUUUAUCACCAAACUGUAAGCUUCUCAAUGGCCAGAGAAUAUAUAUACACUACCUUUACUUUAGAAUUUCUUUUUAUUUGAUAUGAACAGAUAAUUUAUACACACACACACAAUGAUAGAUAAACUUAAUAGCACAAAGGAAUGAUUUACUGUUUAUUUCGGAGAACAGCUCAUAUAAGCAAUAGGACAAUUGAGUUGUGUUUUGAGUCUGGCCAUUGGAAUGUUGUCAUAUGGAAGCAUCCAGAGAGAGGGAAGAAUAUGUACAGAGCCUGAGAAGUGUGUGGGACAGGGAAUCCUUUUUAGUGCUUUUAAGUGACUAAGGAAGGAUGAGGCUGGGGUGGUAAUUGGGAGCCAAUUGAAGGUCUUUGCAUUCUCAGAAUUCACUGUUGUGGAAGGGGAGUCAAAAAUUCAAACACUAAAAUGCUUUCUUAGCCCAAAGCACAAGUCAAAUUAAAUAUGAAUAGAUUUUGUGUGUUUCAUGAACUGACUUAUUCUAUUACAUAAUCAUUUCUAAGUGAAAUCAGUUUAUGAGAAAAGCACUGGUACAUACAGUGUUAGUGUUUUUCUGUGAGUACAAACCACACCAAUGUUUACAUAAGUCUUUGUUUUUCAGUUUUCAGUGUCUUAAAAUUGCUGUCUUCAGACCAGCAGUCUGCAUAGGCAUGUCAUGGGAACUCCAAAAUGCAAAUUUUGGACCCCACCUACUGAUUCAGAACUUGGGGGUAGGGCCCAGCAAUCUUUUUUAACAAGUUCCCCAGGGGAUUCUGAUGCACACUAAGUUGGAAAACCGCUGGUCUAUAGAGUCAGUCCUCAUGAGAUACCAGCAGGUUCCAAAUAGAAUUCAUUCCUGGGAUUUGGGGAGACAGGAAAGUAUGACUUUGAAGGUAAAACCAACAUGAUGCAAAACAGGCAUACAUAAAGGUCUGGACUGGCUGGAGUAAUUCCAAAAUAAGAUGUUAGUGCUAUGUGUUGGAAAUAGAGGGGAAUUAGUUUUUAGAUCAUUAAUCCUUUAUGUUUUCUGCAAUGGGCCUGUUUUUAAAUAAAGGAAAGGUUUUGUGUUAAAUUAAUUUACAGACGAAGGCUUGGAAUCUAGAAAAAAUAGCCAACUUGUUAGAAUGUGGCUUUUCUCCAAUUAUAGGUCAGGGCCCACUCAUUGUGGAGUUUUAACUUGAGAUAGAAUUUUUGGCUCAAGAAUAGGGAAUACUAAGUUGCCAUAGUGCUUAAAAUUGUCUGAGUCAUCUUUAUGUUUUUGGUGUUCUUCUUGGUAAGCCUUGGUAAGUGCUUACCAGGUUCUGACUCAACCUUUCUCUAAGGACCUUGCAGACUAGGAAUGUAAGGCCUAUCUGCAGUCUAAUCACAGACUUCCAGCUUGCUUAGUUUUCUCAUGAUAAUGCUACAUUGGCAUUCUCAUUUUAGAUCAGUUAACUUUGAGUUUACAGAGAGAAUGGGCUUCUCCAGAGGCUGCUCACCUCCUUGUGUAGACAAAGGAUUUUUGAAGGUUCAUAAAGCUGUGUUCUAGAGCACCGUGCCGUGGGAACCUCUACUGCAGUGUGGCAGUUGAAAAGUGUUGGAAAAUAGAAUCUUCCUUGAGGAACUUAAAAUAAUUUUUAAAGUUUUUUUUUGAUGAAAAAUUAGAAAACAGGAGGUUUUCUUAUGUACCCCAUUAGAUUGAAAAUACCUCUUCUAUUUGAUUUGGGAGCUCUCCUAGAGGGCAGGCCCUACUUUAUAAGGUACCUGUUUCAUCCUGACUGAUGGAAUGGGUUUGUCCUUUUUUCAGUCUCUGGAUUAUUAAACUUAUUGCUCACAUGUAAGACUUCAAAAUUAAGACAACUUUGCCAGCCAGGUUUGGUGGCGCAGUCCUGUAAUCCCAGUGGUUUAAGAGGCUGAGGCAGGAGGAUAGCAAGUUCAAAGCCAGCUUCAGCAAUUUAGCAGGCCCUAAGCAACUCAGUGAGACUCUGUCUCUAAGAUAUUUUUAAAAAGGGCUGGGGAUGUGGCUCAGGGGUUAAGCAUGCCUGGAAUCAAUCCACAGCCCCUGUACCAAAAAAAAGGACUUUGCCAAGGUAAAUAUAAAAGCCAAUACCAAUAAUGUGUUUCUCACCUAGACAUAUUAAUAAAACACAUAAUGCAAGUGCCCCAAGUUAGAAACUCCACAACUGACAAACUUUAUUUAAUAAGCAUUGAUGAAAUAUUUGUUUUACAGAUUUAAAAAUUCACUUUGUUUCGCAAGUUAAAAUCAUGUUAAAUGUUCUCUUCCAAAUCCUUUUUAAAUUCUAAUUUGUUAUUUAUGACAGCAGAAUGCAUUACAAUUCAUUAUACAUAUAGAGCACAAUUUUUCAUAUCUCUAGUUGUACACAAAGUAGAGUCACACCAUUCAUGUCUUCAUACAUGUACUUAGGGUAAUGUUGUCCAUCUCAUUUAACUGUCUUUACUACCCCGAUUCCACCUCCCCUUCCCUCCCUCCCCUUUGCUCUAUGUAGAGUUUGUUUAAUCCUCCCAUACUCCCCUGCAACCCCCAUUAUGAAUCAGCAUCCUUAUAUUGGAAAACAUUCAGCAUUUGGUUUUUGGGACUGGCUAACUUCACUUAGCAUUGUACUCUCUAACUCCCUUUAUCUGCAAAUGCCAUGAUUUUAUUCUCUUUUAAUGCUGAGUAAUAUUCCAUUGUGUAUAUAUACCACAGUUUCUUUAUCCAUUCAUCAACUGGAGGGCAUCUAGGUUGGUUCCGCAGUUUAGCUGUUGUGAAUUGUGCUGCUAUAAACAUUGAUGUGUCUGUGUCCCUUUAAUAUGCUGUUUUUAAGUUUUUUGGGUAUAGACUGGGGAGUAGGUUAGCUGGGUCAUGGUGGUUCCAUUCCCAGUUUUCCAAGGAAUCUCCGUACUGCUUUCCAUUUGGCUACAUCAAUUUGCAGUCUUACCAGCAAUGUAUGAGUGUGCCUUUCCCCCUGCAUUUUCACCAACAUUUAUUGUUUUUAUUCUUAAUAGCUGCAUUCUGACUGGAGUGAAAUGAAAUCUUAGAGUAGUUUUAAUUUGCAUUUCUCUAAUUGCUAGAGAUAUUGAACAUUUUUUCAUAUAUUUGUUGAUUGAUUGUAUAUCAUCUUCUGAGAAGUGUCUGUUCAGUUCCUUGGCCCAUUUAUUGAUUGGGUUAUUAUUAUUAUUAUUUUGGUGUUAAGAUUUUUGAGUUACUUAUAUAUCCUAGAGAUUAGUGCUCUAUCUGAUGUGCAUGUGAUAAAUUCUUAAUAGAUUAUAAUCAAGAUAUGAAGUUUUUCUUUAUGAAUACAUUUAGCCAAAGUCCAGUUAUUCAGACCAAAGGGCAGCUUGAUUCCUGGUUUAUGGGUAAGCUUUCUAUAUCCACCUAAUUCAGCAGAGCCCAAGUGGUUGGGAGGUGAGCUGUACAUGUCAAACCCACAGCACUGUAGCAUUCAUUGUCUACUGGAACACUGAUCACCUAUAUCAUUUGCCUUCUCUAGUACACAGUACAUCUCUUGGGCCUGGACUAGUUUCAGAGUAGGAGGUUUUCUCUGACAGGAGAGUACUCAAGUGCAUGUAAAGAACUGCCUACCUUUCUCUGACAUUCGCCAAACCCGUUUGUGUAAUUCCAGGACUGUUCUAAAGCAUCUUGUUGGUGCCCUAGUACCUCUCCUGUGUUGUAGGAUGACUCUGUUAGUUUAACAAGUUCUGUCAGAUUAUAGUUCACCACAGAGCAAAUUGGCAGAGUCCUAAAGAAAUGUUAGUACUUGGGUCCUAAAAUAUCCAGACGUCCACCAUGACACUGAGCAGACAUGUUAUCAUAAUCUCAAAAAGAUAACAACCAUCCCUCCGGAGGAGGAGCCCCUUCUAUUAGAAAGGAAAUAAUUUUUUUUUCUUUCUUUCUUAAUGGAGAAAAUAGGUGCAAAGUUUCAGUUAUAAGAUAUAAGCCCCCAGGUAUAUGGUAGAAACCUGACCUCAUCCUUUGAGUACUGUGUGUUAUGUGUUUGCCCACCCAAUCCCAUUGGUACUCUGCCUUUUGUCACAUGUUCCUUGAUGGAUCCUGUGCUCUCACCUUCUCCCUCCCUGUUGAAAGCUCUCUUUCCAGCUGUAGUGAGCCUUCUAAGCACUUCUGGCAUUCAUCUUCUAGUAAGUAGAUUAAGCUGAUUUAUCCUUCCAAGAGACCGAAGUCCUGUAAAGUCAUAUAUAUGAAGAAUGUACCCUUUGGGAAAUAACCACACAGGUAAAGAUUGGUAUUGAAAGAGACUCUUAAAGAGCAUUGCUAACUUGCUAAGCUUUUAUCUGCCCUUGAUAUCUGUAGAUUCUUUCUUCCAUUUACCAGGUAACUCAACAAGUGAGUUGCUAUCAGAGAAAGAAUAUCAAUGGGAAAAAGUAGCAAGGAAGGAUUUGGCAAGCAUUAUUCUUAUUUAAUUCUUUUUAAAUUGGAUGGUUUCUGAGAGGUUCCAUUCUUCACUGAAUUUGGGGGUUCUUGAAGACUCGAUUGCAAGUUGUUAAAAGUUCCAAUUGACCCCAUUUGAUCAAAAUAUAUGAUAUGUCAAGAUCAUUGUACUGUCAUAUGUAACUGAUUAAAACAAAUUCAAAAAUAAAAAAGUUCCAACUGAAAAUGCCAUUGUCGCAAAAGUCUGGAGUUUAUUC
This 5833-nucleotide long non-coding RNA is filed under the name Marmota monax (woodchuck). The record is from RNAcentral. Lineage: Eukaryota; Metazoa; Chordata; Mammalia; Rodentia; Sciuridae.